Molecule: ribosomal RNA, 2462 nt
Filed under: Triticum aestivum (bread wheat)
Lineage: Eukaryota; Viridiplantae; Streptophyta; Magnoliopsida; Poales; Poaceae
Description: partial small subunit ribosomal RNA
Source: RNAcentral
GGGCGGAGGUGGUCGCUCGGGGAGAAGAGAGGGAACGAGGCUAGACCACCUCGGCGGCGGGGGUUGGAGAGAGAGGCUGAUGCUAGGCGGCGGCGGAGGUUGACGAGGGUGGGGUGAGGAGAAGGGGAGGAGGAACCCAUCGGGUCAGCAGUAGCGCUGGCUCCUGGUCUCUGCGCACGCCCUUCGAGUUCCGCCUCCUCCUCGUCGCCACCGCCGCCGCCGCUCAGUCCCGCUCCGGUCGUGGCUCCUGGUCUAGAGCGAGGACGGCGGAGGGCCCCUACGGGCGCGCCCGGAAGCCGCCUCGAUCCGGGGCGCGAGGAUAAGCAACCGCGGACGCGAACCCUCUUAGCUCCCGUCCAACACGCGCCGGGAGCAGUCGGCGUAGACGAUUCCACCACCGGCCCGGCCGCCGCCUCCACCGCCGGGCCGACACUCCCCUCCAGUGCACCACUCCUGGCUACCUAGGUGGCCUCUCCUGCCCGCACCGAGUAUGUUCCCCCCUCCGAGAAUGUCGCCCUCCUGGCCGCUCCCACCCGUACCGAGUAUGGUCCGCCCUCCGAGAACGCCGCCCUCCUGGCCGCUCCCACCCGUCCCGAGUAUGGUGUCCCUUCCGAGUAUGCCGCCCUCCAGGCCGCCUCUGCCGCGGCCCGUACCCGUACCCGUACCUCCCUCGCGUGCACCACCCGCACCGCGGCGGACUUCUUCUGCGAACUACUUGCACUGGACCACCUCCGGGAGCUCCUCGACGUAAUGGUUCAUCUCUAACCGUUCCGGCCACCACUCUUCACCUUCAGGACUCACUACUAUCCUCCUUCGUUUGAACGACUUCGUUUGAAAGGGUCGUUCUUGCCUAGGGAGUUCGACCUGCUUACCCACAACACGGCCUACAUGUUGUUCUUCUUGUUGACCCCCUUCCAGUUCCACCUCGUCCUGUACCGGCACCUCCGUACCGGACCUGCGAGCAGUUGGAGCCGGUGAAGCACUAAUGUAUGGUGAAGAAGGUGACCUUCUUCCCUUGAGGUAAGCGACUACUAGUCCCCUACAUAUUAUCUAACUGAACCACCCUCGUUUACCUGUUGCCGUUCGUCGAAUGAGCGUUGUCUUAAAAAAAACAACACCAAGGACAUCAGGACAUACACAAUAAGACAAAGUUAAAAUAAUUAUGACGAAAACCCUCGAAUGAACCGUUCCUUGUUGUACCGUCCUACAUACGUGUUUCUAACUAAGACCGAUCAGUUUAUGAUGUGAAUAAGUAAUUAAUACGUUUCUUGUGAACAAUCAUUGUAGAUCCAGAUUGAACGUAUAAGUGCGGUAAUAUGUACACAUUCCUAACCCGUAACGAGAUAACGAGAUAAGUGUGGUAAUAUGCACACAUUUUUAACAAGUUAAUUGAAGUAAUAGUAAUUAUUAACUAAUAAGUGAAAACCAAUCAUCAUUGAAAUUGAACCGCCGUUUGACCAAUUUAUGAACCGACACUAGUGCAAACACCAACCACACGCUCGUUCGUUUUAGUCUUUACUAGGCUUGACUAGUAUAAUAAAAACGCAAACGAUCUUAACAGGUACCUGUAAAUUAGACAAAACACAUAUCAUCCAUUUUAUCGUCUCAUGUGGUUAAUGGUAAAACAGACGACUAUUUGUGAAGGUUUCUGGAAAAUCGUGUCUCAAGUAUAUCAAUGUAUCACGAAAAAUCGAAUACAUAGUAUGUCAAUACGUCACGAGGGAUGUGACAGACAAAUGAUAUAUAUAGUAAGUACAUAAGAACCUAUCACGUCUGAUGUAUGGUACCGCUUAAUUGGUGUUAAAAGGUGUUAAACGUCGCCGGCACGAGGUGGUCGAUAAAAAACCAAGAACGUUAGUCCCCUGAAGGAACGUUCUGUCCCGGGCGGGAGAAAACGAAGAAGAUGAUGGAUGACAACGACGACAACGACUAACCAGAUACGUGUUAACUAUUAGGUAGUUACAAAUAAACGAUGAAGACAUCAUCGACUAUACGAACUACGCACAUAGAGAUAGAGGAAUGUCGAAACGAUCUUGGUAUUUAGGACUACGGACUACUAAUACCAGACCAAACGAUCUAGACAAGAUAACCACGAAUUUUAAACUGUACGGACCUAAGACUUGAAAAGUAAAGAUACUAGUUAAAUCAAUCUCAACGUGUACAGUCAUAUGAUAUAUGGUUUUUUUGGCAUCGAUCACUCUUGUAAAGUGAGGUACUUGUAUAUGACCAAUCACAAUCAGUAUGAUAAAUAGAUGUACCGUAAAGGACAGUUAAGAACGAAUAUUCAAUAACCUAAGGAGUAACCGAUAACAAACUACAAGACAUGUGUAAGAAUAAGAAUAUAAAAGUAAGAAUAGGAAACGUAUCCACUUCACGCUUAGUUUCAGGCUUCGACACUUCGUAUAGUUGUUCAUCAUCGUAUAAUACACAACAUUAACAUCCGUCAUCAUCCGUAUAGACCG